Ictidomys tridecemlineatus (thirteen-lined ground squirrel) is the source of this 3063-nucleotide long non-coding RNA. RefSeq lists it as uncharacterized. Lineage: Eukaryota; Metazoa; Chordata; Mammalia; Rodentia; Sciuridae. The record is from RefSeq and is a predicted model, not a curated record.
UUUGGUAUUAGCUUUAUCUGAACUCCAGGUCGGGUGUCUAGAAUUCAACUGGGAGGAAGUUAAAAAGUUUCAGCGUCGAACUCAAGUUUUCUCUGAAGAUGAGUCUUGGCAAUCCGAUCCUGGCUCCCUCCCUGGCCUGCCAUUCAUCUGCGACCUCGGGAGAUAACAGCAGCUUGCACAGUAACACAGCAACAAUCAGGAUGACGACGAGCAUAGUAAACAAUACUUCUAACGCUUGAACCCUCCUGCACGGGGAGAGGAAAACACUCUGGCUGCAUCGCAUCUGUGCGUAGAUUCACCCCCAGCCCCAAUAUAAUUCUGUGCAGGCGGCUGAGCUCUGAGACGGAGAAAUGUGGAGCCGAGGCAGCCCGGGCCUGCUGGUGAGUCAACCGCGUGACAAGUCGACAGAAAAAAAGGGAAGAGCUGGAUGCUCCUGGGGUCCGCGCAGAGGGGCCGCGCAUGGCUACAUCAGUGACUUCACGCCCAAACAGACCCGCAGCGUCGAGGCUGCGGCGUGGUUCAAAAACCAACAAGAGCCAAGGGCCGGGGAGUGACCAAGGGGCUCAGAUCGAUGAGCACAGCGCCCUGACCCUCCGUUUCCGACUCUUUAGCAUGACAAUAUCAGAUACCCUGUUAAAGAAAAGGCCCCGUUCAAGCUGUGGAACUGCCGGCUUCUAUUCCUCCUUGGAGACGCAUCUGCCUACUUACCACCCCCGCCCGGGUAUCCCCCUCCAUCCCCGACCAGGCCUCUCUUUUUCGGUUCUUGCAGUACAAUCGGAACAAGUGAAAAAGGACCCUGAUUUUUCCAGAGGGACCACGCAGUCUGAAAAGCGGCUCUGGGAGGCCAGAGUGAGAUUCCUGUGACCCUGUGUGCAGCGUUUUGGCAGGUGGCUCAGGGCUGGUCCCACCGGGCGGGCGGCAAAAGCUGGAAGCCGCAGCCUGCUGCACACCCCCGGUGGCAUGAGGCGGUGCCAUUAGAGCCUCUCCAUUUCCCGUAUCCAGAGAAGCAAUUUUCAGGGUGAGGCACGGAACUCAUCAACAUCUCUCAUCACACCACGUCACUGACCUAAAUAUAGACAAUGACUUCAAGGAAGAGAGGGGGCGGGGGAAGAAGUUGCAAGUUCUUUUACACCUGCAAAUGCUGCGGAGAGCGUCAAACAAACUGGCAAUGAGGAACAAUAGAUAACCAGUCAGAUGGGAAGGCAGCAGAGAGGCUGUUCUAGAAUGAUGGCUGUGAUAAGGCCAUUACGGUGUCUCAGCGUAACAUCAAUCCUCAUUUGUAAGGCGGGGUGGAGAUAGCCCUGAGGGAGCAGCUCUGGGUCCCUUGCCAGCUUUUCCACGGGGAGCCCUGCGGGAGGAAGGGGGCAUCUGCCACAGAUCUUCCUGGCUGAGCCGGGCUGGUCUCUUCACUGGGUAGUGCAGGGCUCUGAUUCAAAGAGGCAGGCACUCACUGGACGGGAAGCCAUUUCUUUCCCACCCAAGAAGAGCACUGUGCAGUCUUUGUGACCAACAGCCUUCCCCAGCAGCCACUUGGAGCCACCCGCCUGUCUGGCCUUCCCCUGUCGCCUCCUGUGUCAAAGCCCUCCUCCACUCUGGAAGGCAGAAGUGCCCUGGAUCUCUUGUGUCUGCCAAGAGGGGUGUCAGCCAGGGUCACUCUCUCUCCCAGAACCUAUUCAGAGUCUUGAAUGACAUCAUAAGAGUGCCUACCUUACGGAUGUGGGCAUUAUUCACCUGCCAGGUGAGCGGAAGGGCUGUUUUAGCAGCUUUUAUGAACAUGAAUCCCAUGUCUAGGGACAUCGGAAAGACACCCGAGCCAAACAUUAAGUGUAGCUAGGCUAGUGACGUCAGCAAUUAGGACACAAUCGUGGGCAAUCAUUGUGGAGGAAGAGUCACCUGUCUCUCACAUGCUUCUAAUGCUCUUCCUGUUCACUCAGAUAACUAUCUGCGUAAGAACUGCAGCGGGGGAGGCUCCAGAGGCAAGCUAAUUGCCUGCUGUUAGGGAACCAGGGAGCCACUCCAGACUGGGGCUGUCCACAACUCCGUCAUUUAGGCUGAAACACAAGCCCGUGCUCUUCUGUGUGCGCAGAGCAUCCAUAAGUGCAGCCAUCAAUUUGUGACCUCAGAGAGUACGUAGCUGACCCCAGCAGAAGCAGAUGCCACUGUGGCAAGGAGAGCCCUGGCCCUUGGCAAAGUAACAAUGCAGAAGAACGGAAAGAACAACACCACCCAUGAGGUAAGAGGCCAAGGCAGCGCUGCACCUGGAGUAAAACCACGGCUCUAGCAAGAAACGAGGACAAGAAGCCACCCGAAUGCUCCAGCCAAACCAAAUGACAACCAGGAAAAGAUGCUGGCUCAAGAGGAGCCCAAGGUCAGAAUCCCCACCAGGGACAGUUUGGGCAGGGACAUCUUGGUGGCUUCCCUGACAUAGUGACCCUCUCUGUGGCUUUUACUGAUGUUCUGGAAAGUGAGACUGAGUCAGAGCGAGGAAAAUAAGGAUCUGUAUGAAGGAAAAAAAAAAAAAAAACAUCCCCAAAGGGUGGCAGAAAGAGUGGCUCUGGAUUACAAAUGUCAGUUUAAGGGGAUCCACCAUAAUAGAAAUCUAGUUGCUCUGUUCUGUGCAACGGGAGGACUCUGGCACUGGUGGUUUCUACAAAGGGCUGGAAGCUAACUGGGUUCAGAGUCUGGAAGAUCCCGACAGUGUUUCACUUCUGCAGGGCUUCCGCCUCCCUCCACAGACCCCGGGAAAUAUACUCUCUGGGAUAGGUGAAUGCAAUUAAAAAUUACAAAAGACUAGCAGGGGGAAAAAAGCAAUUUGGUCAAGAAGAAAUAUGCCCAGAGUCAUUUUUUUUUUCCAAUCCAAUAUCUUUGUUAAUUAAGCAUUUUCCAACCUAUGAUGAGAAUACUAAUAGUAAUCGAAUACUUACUACUCAUUACUAAUAAAACAUAUUUGUGAAAUGGAAAUGUAAUGUGCCUAUUUCCAAAAUGUGGUUAUAAAUGACUUACUCUCAGCCACAAUUUAAAGUGGUUUGAGAAAUGAGUCUUUAAUAAAGAAUUGAUGAGGAA